GACGAACCGUCCAAACGUUAUUCGGAAUCACUGGGCUUACAGAGCUCGUAGGCGGUCUGGAAAGUUGGGUGUGAAAUCCCUCGGCCUAACCGAGGAACUGCGCUUGAAACUACCAGACUCGAGGGAGAUAGAGGAAAGCGGAACUGAUGGUGGAGCGGUGAAAUGCGUUGAUAUCAUCAGGAACACCGGUGGCGAAGGCGGCUUUCUGGGUCUUACCUGACGCUGAGGAACGAAAGCCAGGGGAGCGAACGGG
This 253-nucleotide ribosomal RNA is filed under the name uncultured bacterium. RNAcentral describes it as "partial 16S ribosomal RNA". It matches the Rfam family "Bacterial small subunit ribosomal RNA", at positions 524 to 776 of the family's 1533-position model. The record is from RNAcentral.